This 434-nucleotide ribosomal RNA is filed under the name uncultured Lachnospiraceae bacterium. Its description in RNAcentral is "partial 16S ribosomal RNA". It matches the Rfam family "Bacterial small subunit ribosomal RNA", at positions 341 to 792 of the family's 1533-position model. The record is from RNAcentral. Lineage: Bacteria; Bacillati; Bacillota; Clostridia; Lachnospirales; Lachnospiraceae.
ACGGGAGGCAGCAGUGGGGAAUAUUGCACAAUGGGGGAAACCCUGAUGCAGCGACGCCGCGUGAGUGAAGAAGUAUUUCGGUAUGUAAAGCUCUAUCAGCAGGGAAGAUAAUGACGGUACCUGACUAAGAAGCCCCGGCUAACUACGUGCCAGCAGCCGCGGUAAUACGUAGGGGGCAAGCGUUAUCCGGAUUUACUGGGUGUAAAGGGAGCGUAGACGGCAUAGCAAGUCUGAAGUGAAAAUCCAGAGCUCAACUCUGGAACUGCUUUGGAAACUGCCAGGCUAGAGUGCAGGAGGGGCAAGCGGAAUUCCUAGUGUAGCGGUGAAAUGCGUAGAUAUUAGGAGGAACACCAGUGGCGAAGGCGGCUUACUGGACUGUAACUGACGUUGAGGCUCGAAAGCGUGGGGAGCAAACAGGAUUAGAUACCCUGGUA